GGCUCUUUGUUUAAUAGAGGUAUAAAGAGUCGAACCUGCCCAAUGACGUAGUGUUGAAUGGCCGCGGUAUUCUGACCGUGCGAAGGUAGCAUAAUCAUUUGUCUUUUAAUUGAGGACUGGAAUGAAUGGUUUGACGAAAACAAAACUGUCUUUUUUUUAUUAAGUAGAAAUUAAUUUUAAAGUGAAGAAGCUUUAAUAUUUAUAUAAGACAAGAAGACCCUAUUGAGCUUUAUUAUUUAGUGUUGGUUAAAUUUUAUAUUUUUAAAAAGUUUAAUGAAGUUAAAAAAUAAUUUGGUUGGGGCGACUUAGGAAUAAAAUAACUUCCUUUAAAUUUUGAGAAUAAAGCAUAGUGAUCCGAUAUUAUCGAUUGAAGGAAAUAGCUACCAUAGGGAUAACAGCGUAAUUUUUUUAGAGAGUUCUUAUCGAAAAAAAAGUUUGCGACCUCGAUGUUGGAUUGAAGUAUCUAAAGGGUGCAGAAGUUCUUUGGGUUGGUCUGUUCGACCAUUAAAACUUUACA
RNAcentral lists this ribosomal RNA (517 nucleotides) under Cocculinidae sp. HV-2014. RNAcentral describes it as "partial 16S ribosomal RNA". It matches the Rfam family "Bacterial large subunit ribosomal RNA", at positions 1817 to 2600 of the family's 2925-position model. Lineage: Eukaryota; Metazoa; Mollusca; Gastropoda; Cocculinidae. The record is from RNAcentral.